ACUGGAAUACUUUUCUGGGACAAAGCAUGUGUUGACCUGGUAUUUUAGAACCUCCAGAAAGGGGGCAAAACCCUCACCCUGGAAUAAUACUGGUAAAUAAAAGUAAACAAACAAACAAACAAAAAAACGCCUCCAAGACUGGAGGAGUCAAUUCUUCAGGUCUUCCCUCUCUGCCGUGGGAGGCUUUGAAACUGGCUGCCGAUGUACCAGUACCAGGAAGUGAUGUGCAGAACGGGGAAGCUUGUCAUCAGCCCCUCCCUGCUUUCUGUGUUCUGCAUGCUGUGCUCUUGGCUUGCUCCUGUUCAGUGUGUGUGUGUGUGUGUGUGUGUGUGUGUGUGUGUGUGUGUGUGUGUGUGUUCUGUGUAUUGAUGGCAGCUUCCCCCAUGAAAUGUUCAAACUUCAUCUCUCCAUCUUUUUCUACAGACAAGUAGGGGACUUAGUUGGAUCCCUCGGGUGGCAGACGAUGAUAUCAGUGGUUAAAUGGCCCAGCCUCUCCCCUUUGCAGGACCCUUUCUUUCUUAGGCACUUAUGCUCAGAGCUUGGUCAGUGGGAUUGCUGUCCUCAAUAGCAAUGAGUAGCUCACGACCACUCCUUUCUUUCUGGCCCGUCUCUUUGCUAUCUCAUUUCUUUCCUAUUUUCAGUUCUAUAUUUAUACUUCCUGAAAUAACCAUAAAAUAACCUGAAAUAAACAAAUAGCCUGCCACCCAACAUUACCUCAGUUUCUACUUUCAGAAAGAAAAAAAAAAUCAAAACAAAUGGAGCCCAAGAAGGAAGCUGAGAAAGAGAGAUACAAACAUUUUUGUCCGAAUUUGGGAACCAAAUAAGAUGGCUUAUUCUUUGUAGCUAGUGCCUCUCCCACCUUCCUCCUAGAGUACCUAAAGUAGAUUAUAAUCUUCAAAAGGUAAAAAAAAAAAAAAAGCAGACAAUGUCACUUGGUUUCAUUGCUAGGUCCUAAGAUUUGGUUGCCAAGGCAGACUUGUAUAACAGGAUCUAUCUACACUACCAACCCCACACAAAAGCCUGGAGCCCUAAGACUCAGGGCCUUCCCUCAGCAGAGACGUUUCCCGCCUGUUGACAUACUUUUCUCUCGGAGAAAAAGAACUUCAGGACACGUCCCCGCUAUCUCUGUACUCUGUGAACACACAUCUUAUCUUAUCUUUGUAUCCUUUGCAACAACAAAAAUCCUAGUACGAAAUGCUACCGAAUCUUGUGAAUUCUUUUGCCAUGUAAAAUGCAAGCCAGUACCACAGGCAGAUGGUAGCAGAGAUGGAAUGCAAGUGCAGGCAGCCUGCCCUCUAGCUUGUUCCUUUAAACAUCUUGUUUGACUACCGCCUAGAACUGGUGUUACUAUUAUUACUUCUUUCGCUUCGUCUGCUCUCUAGGCCUUCUUUGAUGAAUACACAGUAUUUAUAAUCAAAGGGAGAAAAAGCUUGUAAUUUGUAAAUGUUCGCGGUUGAGAGAUAAGAAGAAUCACGAUGAAGAAACAGACACUAGGAAGAUAAAUUAGGGCAGUGAAAUAUGAAGGAGCGCCACGUUAAGCAAAACACAGCCUUCUGGAGGAAAUGUUCCCAGUCUGGAGACAGACAGGGAUUUAAGAGACACGUAAAACACAGAUCACAAAAGCAAAAGCCAAUAAAUUGGACCUCACCCGCGUUAAAAUGUUAUGCUUUGUUAAUAAAGUGCUAAGAAACUGAAGAAGGAACUCACACCUUGAGAGAAUGUCUGUACUAAAUAUGUCUACUGAAGGACUGAUACCCAAUAUACAUAAAGAAUUUGUGCAAUUCUAAACCAAGGAAAUCUGACAAAUAAGUAAAGAACACAUGUUUAUAUGUGUGUGUGUACAUUUAGGUGUGGAACUUCUUGACGAGCCGGUCAACUCAGAAUCUCACUUAGUUAUUAGAACAAACUUGGAGAAAAUGCAGUAGUAAAAUCUGAUCAGAGACAAAUGUGUGGUCAAGUUCUGUCAACGUUUGAUGCUCCCUGAAGUCUGUGUCAUUUUCUGCUAGCGAGAACUACUCCCGGGGGAGUGUUCUGAGAGGCUGAUGUUGAAGAGGAAGCUGAACGCCGCUGUAAUAUGGUAUCUGUGCUAUUUAUGUCUCUCAGUCUCUGUCGGCGGAUGCUCUGCAUCACAAACUCGGUGUCUUUUAUGUACACCACACAUUUCUAUUCUUCUCAAUGGUGGCUCUUACACUUUCUGAUCUCAGGACACCUUUAAGCUUGUUUUGUUUUUAAAUUUAUAAACUGUUGGGCUGUGUAGUCCUGUGUAGCCCAGGUUAGACUUGAGCUCACAAUUCACAAGAAUUGACCCUUGGCCUCAGCCUCCCAAGCUGCUGUCAUUAUAGGCAUGUAUUAUCAUUCUUGGUACCUUAAGGUUCUUGAGAAUUGUUGAGAAGCCCCCCAAAUCUGUGGUUUAUGUUUUAUGUUAAUAUGUACCAUAGUAGGAAUGAAAGAAACUUAAGCAAAUUUAUUAAUUUAUUGAAAAUAACAAGUGUUGAGAUUAUUAACAUAGUAACAAAUUACAUAUUAUACAUCCAUACAUCCAUAUACAAAAAUUUUAUUUUUAAAAACAACAAAAUAAGGAAGAUAGAGGAUUGAAAAUAAGGACAAAUAUUCUUUUUGUUUGUUUUGUUUUGUUUCGUUCUGAAACAGGGUUUCUCUGUGUAGCCCUGGUUUACUGGAACUCAGUCUGUAGACCAGACCGGCCUUGAACUCAGAGAUCAAGCAUCCACUACCUCCAGAGUGCUGGAAUUAAAUCUGUGCAACACUAUGGUAAGGAGGACAAAACACUCUUCACAUAAUUAUUAAAUAGUUCAUGUUAAAACCACAAUGAGAUAUGAAUGCACACCUACCAGAAUGCCUAACAUUAAAGACUAGCAAGAAAGAGCAACUGGAACUCUUAGAAAUAGUUUUUAUAAAAAGACAAUCAACUAAUUUCUUUCUUUUUUAAAUAUGAAACACUUCACGAAUUUACUUGUCAAAGGAGCCAUGCUAAUCUCUGUAUUAUUCCAGUUUUAGUAUACAUGCUGCCAAAGCAAGCACUGGGCAAUUUAUUGAACAUAUCUUACCAAAUAAUAAUUAUCCUCCUAGAUUCUUACCCAAGGAAAAUGAAAGGACGUGUCUUCCCAAACAUAUGUACAUUAAAGCUGAUAGUGGCUCUAUUCAUAAUACCUAGAAACACCACAAACAUCCACCAGCAGGUAGGUGGAUAAAGAGAUCAUGGCUCAUUAAUUCAGAGGAAUACUACUUACCAAUGAAAGGGAACAACCUUGAUGUGUACAACAAUGUGAAUGGGUUUCAAAAAUUGUGUGCAAAGAAUCCAGAUGUGAGGAGAAAGGAAACAGCUGAGAAUGAUUCAGAUGCAAUCAUUGGAAUCGCCUUUAGAGCUGGGACCCACUGGAGGUGACUGGGUCUUGAGGGCUCUGGCUUCCUGGACAGAUUGAUCUGUUUGUGGAUUUAUAGUUUAAUGGGUUAUUGAGAGGUAGUAGUAACUUCAGGAGCUAGGCUUCUGGGGGCGGGGGGGGGGGGAACAGGUCACAGUGGAUGUGCCCUGGGAGGGUUUUCUGCUUUUUUCCCUAGCCUCUUCCCCUCUCAGUCUUCCUGCCUCCUAGCCACCAGGAAAUCAGUAGCUUUGAUCUUCCAUGGUACUUUCUAGCCUUUAAACCUAAACCAGGAGCCAGGGACCACAGACUGAAACCAUGCAAAAUAAGUCUUCCUUCUUCAAACUGAUUUUUUUUAAGAUAUUUUUGAUACUGCAACAGAAACCUAACAUACCAUUUUAUUCUGCUCACUAAACAUAUUUAGUUGUCGCAAGGAGUGUAAAAAUUCCUCUUAGCUAUAUUUUUUUAAAAGCAAAUUUUAAUUUCCAUUCUUUUUAGUCUUAACAUUGUCCUGAUUGAUUCCCAGCAAAUGCCCCCCUUCCUACUAAAAUGAGAAGUCUUUUUAUCACAUUGGCCUGAGAUUUGUCAUCUGUCUCCUUCAUCACCUGUGGGCUCUCAGCUUUAUAGCAGAAGAGCAAUAACAAGUGAAUUUACUACCUCUUGUGAGAAUUUUCUCCCUGUUGGAGGUGAUUAAUGACCCUUCUAAAAUAGAAAAUUAAAUCAAGAUUUAGUUAUUUCAUCUGAAAAAGCUAAUUGAACCACAUAUUUAUGAAAUUAGAUGUGGAGAAGUGAACUGCCACCACCCACUCAACUACAACAAGAAUGUUUUUCCACUUCUGAGACAGCAUAAGAGAGGAGAAAUUAAUAUGCAUGUGGCACAUCUUCCAUCUCCCUUCUCCAGUCUGCUGGUGCCUGUUGAUGAGUCUGGAAUUUUUCUUUCUUUCUGAUAAUGGUAUAAACUGGCAAAUACCUAAGAGAACCAGAGGCCAAUGAGAGGUGAGGUAAUGUGGAUUACAUUUUAUAGGGUUUUUUUUUUAAUGUCAGUUUUUAGUUUAUUAACAUUUACAUGAAAAUAAAUUAAAAGACAAUUAUUUCUAAAGUAUAUGACAAAUCCAGGCAUUGUGGCACAUGCCUGUAGUCCUCAUGCUUGAUAAGCUAAUGCAGAAGAAUCUUGAGUUUGGGCUCAGCCAGAGCUGGGCAGUGGGACAGAGCACGUAGUAACUCGGCUGCUGCAGCCUCCCCUUCCCUGUGUAUGCAGCCACAAUCUUCCUCCCAGCACAUCAGCAGCACUUCAGAAAUGCAAGUCCUGUGCACAAGUGCCCUCAGAUCUGUGCUUGCUGCAGGCUUGCUGGGGUGUCCUCUGCCAAAUCGAAUCCCAUGCAGAAGGAAGCCCAGAGUCAGUUGGGGAAUACAGCAGUUAUGUUUGUCACGGUUCUGGUUUUUCUAACACACACAUACCUGACAGAAGCCACCAAAGGAGAGAGAAGUCUACUGUGGCUCAUAGUUCAGAAGAUUAUCCAUGGUGGCAGGGAAAUCAUAUCAAAAGGCUGGAGGCUUCGUACAGCUGGAGCUUACAGGGUGGCCUGCUGCAUCUUCCAGGUCAGCAAGCAGUGAUACUGGGCAGGACCAAGCUCACACCCUAAAUUCAGCCUCCAUGGAACUAUGUCUGCCAAUGAGGCCCCAUCCAAACGACUCCACAGCCUCCAAACAUCACCAACAGCUGGGAGCCAAAUGCUGAAGCACAAGGGCCCAUGGGAGACAUUUUCACUCAAGCUGGGAUAGGACUAUUGACAAAAUAAUCUCAAAUAUGUGUUGAAACAACCUCUCUCCCUUCGGUAAUAAUUUCCAUCCUAAUUCAAAGCUGGAUUCACAAGACUGAGUGGUUUUAUGACCUCACUUCUUCUUAACUGAAGUCUUUGGAUGAACGCUCCAGAACUGUCCCUUUAAUGCACAGGGAAGGUUUGCAGCAUCGUGCUCUCCCGUCUUUCCUUCUGCACCCAAACAGCAGUACCCCACGCCCUCCUUAUGUUAUUGCCGUAAAAAUUACCUUAAUUUUAGCCACUUCAAAAACAAUAACAAAACACAAAACAAAACAUUUUUUUAUCCUCUGCAGGUUCAGAGGGCUUGACUGGGCACUGUAUUGAUAUCAGCAGGCUAACUUCAGACUACCAGAGAGAACUCUUGUCUGGAAUCUCUGAGGGGGAAUCUGUUUUAGGCUCUGUGCUGGCUAGUUUUAUGUCAGCUUGACACAAGCUUAUAGCCAUCUGAGAGGUGGGAACUUCAGUUGAGCCUCCAUAAAAUUGGGCCAUAGUCAUGCUUGUAGAGCGUUUUCUUAAUUAGUGAUUGAUGUGGGAGGGCCCAGCCCAUUGUGGGUGGGGCAUCCCUGCGUUCUAUAAGAGAGCAGGCUGAGUAAGCCAUGAGCAUCA
Molecule: non-coding RNA, 5803 nt
Organism: Peromyscus maniculatus bairdii (prairie deer mouse)
Lineage: Eukaryota; Metazoa; Chordata; Mammalia; Rodentia; Cricetidae
Source: RefSeq, a predicted model, not a curated record